UCACGCCCACCACCUAAGAGGGUGUAAGUCGGCUCACUGGCCUUCCCUGUGGGACUGCUGUGCAACCAGGAUGAUGGCUGCACCGACUUGUAACUGAUGCUCAUCCAGUGGUCACCUGCGCAGUACCCAUGUGUGAACGGCACUGGUGAGCACUUGAACAACAGUUACAGUUCCACACAAAUCUUUGCCUCUGUUCCUGGACAGAUGGUAAUUAUUCCAGAGCAAAAGGAUGGAAUCAUGUGUGAGAAGAACAUUUUCUCAAUAUGGAAACUGGACCAAGAACUGUGAAGCACCUCUGUGGGAACGUCCUCUAAGCAGGAAUUACAACUGACAUUAGAGCUUUUUCAAAAGUGCCAUUUGAAAAGAAACAAGCCAUUUCUAAAACAAUAAUUUAUUUCUUUAUUUAACUGAAUUAUGUUGCACUUCCAAGAAACCCCUCCCCCCACGCAACAUUAGGGAGCAGCAUUAACUGCAGCAAUAACAGGCUCUAUCCAAACAUGGUUUGAAUUCUGACCAUCAAACAUCUUCUUUAAAAAUAAAAUACUGCUUCCUGUCUCUACGGAAAUAACUUGA
Eublepharis macularius is the source of this 573-nucleotide long non-coding RNA. RefSeq lists it as uncharacterized. Lineage: Eukaryota; Metazoa; Chordata; Lepidosauria; Squamata; Eublepharidae. The transcript is spliced from 2 exons. The record is from RefSeq and is a predicted model, not a curated record.